GGCUGGGCUCACAGCUGCAGCCCAGUUUUGGGCUAACCGGGAAUAGGGGCUUGAGAAGGCCCGGAGGCGAAGUCAAAGAGAAGCACCUGCGCCCGGGUGAAGAGACGCUCGCCCAUCACCGGCUGGGAGGCAGCUUUCAGCAUGAUCGGCCACUACGUGUCCAUCCUACUGCAGAGUGACAAGAAGCUCACCCAGAAACAAGUAUAUGACAGGUUAGUCGCCAACCCUCGGUGGGUUUACCUAUGAGCUAUCCCAUCCUACCCUUUCGUCGGGAAGAGUGCCAGGGGAUAAGGCACCCACAGUCCCUCUCCCAUAAGCCUGCCAGAAGAUUGAUGUGGCCCGUAUAACCUUUGACCUGUACAAGCUGAACCCACAGGACUUCAUUGGCUGCCUGAACGUGAAGGUGAUUUUUUAUGAUACGUACUCCCUUUCCUAAGAUCUCCACUGCUGUGGGGCCAAACGCAUCGUGAAGGAAGCUCUCCGCUGGGCCCUCUUCAGCAUGCAGGCCACGGGCCACGUGAUGCUUGGCACCUCCUGUUACCUGCAGCAGCUCCUUGAUGCUACAGAGGAAGGGCUGCCCCCCAAGGGCAAGACCUCAUCCUUCAUCCUGACCUGUCUGAAGAUACUUCAGUGAAAGCCUAAGCCCUUGGAAGAUUUCCCCAGUGAAGGACUAGACUAGGGGCCCCAUGCUCAACUGGUAGUGCCCACAAGCCUGGCAGCUGUAGAGCCGCUAACCUCCCCACACCUCCCUCACCACACAGGACCUGAGUGAGGAGGAAGGACUGGAAACCUGGGGUGAGUUGGCCAAAGGAGAAUCUCAGGCUCCUAGUCUGACCCAGCUCCUUCCUGCCCAAGGCAGCUUAGCCCACCCAGACUGGUCCUGAAGUCUGCCCCUCCAUUGGCAUGAAGUCUGCCCCUCAGCAAUCCGGCCUCACAGGCUGCACUUUCAUGGUGCUCUCUACCUUCUGGCCCCCAUCCUGGAACAUUCCUGAGUGAAUUCUCAAGCACAUCAGCAUGUGAUAUUAGGGAGUUUGCAAUAAAUUGUUGAUGCUGAUA
Molecule: non-coding RNA, 1056 nt
Organism: Macaca mulatta (Rhesus monkey)
Lineage: Eukaryota; Metazoa; Chordata; Mammalia; Primates; Cercopithecidae
Source: RefSeq, a predicted model, not a curated record